CCUACGGGAGGCAGCAGUGGGGAAUAUUGCACAAUGGGGGAAACCCUGAUGCAGCGACGCCGCGUGAGUGAAGAAGUAAUUCGUUACGUAAAGCUCUAUCAGCAGGGAAGAAAAUGACGGUACCUGAGUAAGAAGCCCCGGCUAACUACGUGCCAGCAGCCGCGGUAAUACGUAGGGGGCAAGCGUUAUCCGGAUUUACUGGGUGGAAAGGGAGCGUAGACGGGGCGGCAAGUCUGGAGUGAAAUGCCGCAGCUGAACUGCGGUACGGCUUUGGAAACUGGCGAACUAGAGUGCGGGAGGGGUAUGCAGAAUUCCUGGUGUAGCGGUGAAAUGCGUAGAUAUUAGGAGGAACACCGGUAGCGAAGGCGGCUUACUGGACCGUAACUGACGUUGAGGCUCGAAAGCGUGGGGAGCAAACAGGAUUAGAUACCCGGGUAGUC
Molecule: ribosomal RNA, 440 nt
Filed under: uncultured bacterium
Lineage: Bacteria
Description: partial 16S ribosomal RNA
Rfam family: Bacterial small subunit ribosomal RNA
Source: RNAcentral